UGGAGAACUCUAGGUGAUGGUCUGAUAGC
RNAcentral lists this non-coding RNA (29 nucleotides) under Mus musculus (house mouse). Lineage: Eukaryota; Metazoa; Chordata; Mammalia; Rodentia; Muridae. The record is from RNAcentral.